CCUCGUCUUGUCGUGGAUCGACCU
RNAcentral lists this ribosomal RNA (24 nucleotides) under Calostoma berkeleyi. RNAcentral describes it as "partial 25S ribosomal RNA". The record is from RNAcentral. Lineage: Eukaryota; Fungi; Basidiomycota; Agaricomycetes; Boletales; Calostomataceae.